CUGUCUCUUGCUUCACAGUGUUUGGACAGAGCAG
Myotis brandtii (Brandt's bat) is the source of this 34-nucleotide non-coding RNA. Lineage: Eukaryota; Metazoa; Chordata; Mammalia; Chiroptera; Vespertilionidae. The record is from Rfam.